RNAcentral lists this ribosomal RNA (774 nucleotides) under uncultured bacterium. Its description in RNAcentral is "bacterial SSU rRNA". It matches the Rfam family "Bacterial small subunit ribosomal RNA", at positions 8 to 796 of the family's 1533-position model. The record is from RNAcentral.
AGAGUUUGAUCCUGGCUCAGGACGAACGCUGGCGGCGUGCUUAACACAUGCAAGUCGAACGGUGAACUCCGCUUGCGGGGGGAUCAGUGGCGAACGGGUGAGUAACACGUGGGCAACCUGCCCUCAGCUCUGGGAUAACUCCAAGAAAUUGGGGCUAAUACCGGAUAUGACUGCUGACCGCAUGGUCUGGUGGUGGAAAGUUUUUCGGUGGGGGAUGGGCCCGCGGCCUAUCAGCUUGUUGGUGGGGUGAUGGCCUACCAAGGCGACGACGGGUAGCCAGCCUGAGAGGGCGACCGGCCACACUGGGACUGAGACACGGCCCAGACUCCUACGGGAGGCAGCAGUGGGGAAUAUUGCGCAAUGGGCGGAAGCCUGACGCAGCGACGCCGCGUGGGGGAUGACGGCCUUCGGGUUGUAAACCUCUUUCGGCCCCGACGAAGCGUGAGUGACGGUAGGGGUAGAAGAAGCACCGGCCAACUACGUGCCAGCAGCCGCGGUAAUACGUAGGGUGCGAGCGUUGUCCGGAAUUAUUGGGCGUAAAGAGCUCGUAGGCGGUCUGUCGCGUCGGUCGUGAAAACUUGGGGCUUAACCCUGAGCUUGCGGUCGAUACGGGCAUGACUGGAGUUCGGCAGGGGAGACUGGAAUUCCUGGUGUAGCGGUGAAAUGCGCAGAUAUCAGGAGGAACACCGGUGGCGAAGGCGGGUCUCUGGGCCGAUACUGACGCUGAGGAGCGAAAGCGUGGGGAGCGAACAGGAUUAGAUACCCUAGUAGUCC